UCUCUCUUCCUUUUCAUUUUUCUUUCCCUCUUUUAUUUUAUCUUUUUUUUAGAUUUUUUUAUCAAUUUCCUAUCCUUUCCACACCUAUCUACAGCCUAAUUGGCACAUCGAAACCAGGUGUAGUGCCCUCUUUUAAUAGAAAAGGAUGGGCGACACCAUGGGAUGCCAACUCUUGGCAUCCCUUAAUUCCUACAUGACAUUCUUUAAUUUUUCCCAUGGAAUUCAAAGGGAUGGCAUGGAAAAUAGAAAGGUUAACUAGUAGAAGGACUCUUCCUCUACCUAGAAAAAAUAUAACACCAUCAUAUGGUGCAUGGGAUAAGAGGGAGGACGUGAAAGACCAAGAGUCUAUGAUAUUAUGGACUCUUCCAUAUCAAUGCAAAUAUAUGGCGUCCCAUUUAUUAUUGGC
This 406-nucleotide long non-coding RNA is filed under the name Elaeis guineensis (African oil palm). RNAcentral's name for it is "long non-coding RNA (EGUI_LNC081026)". Lineage: Eukaryota; Viridiplantae; Streptophyta; Magnoliopsida; Arecales; Arecaceae. The record is from RNAcentral.